RNAcentral lists this transfer RNA (73 nucleotides) under Trichonephila clavata. It matches the Rfam family "tRNA". Rfam says of the family: Transfer RNA (tRNA) molecules are approximately 80 nucleotides in length. Their secondary structure includes four short double-helical elements and three loops (D, anti-codon, and T loops). Lineage: Eukaryota; Metazoa; Arthropoda; Arachnida; Araneae; Nephilidae. The record is from Rfam by way of RNAcentral.
GGGGGCGUAGCUCAGAUGGUAGAGCGCUCGCUUAGCAUGCGAGAGGUACCUUGAUCGAUACCCGGCGCCUCCA